CGGGACGGGUGAGUAAUGUCUGGGAAACUGCCUGAUGGAGGGGGAUAACUGCUGGAAACGGUAGCUAAUACCCCAUAACGUCGCAAGACCAAAGAGGGGGACCUUCGGGCCUCUUGCCAUCGGAUGUGCCCAGAUGGGAUUAGCUAGUAGGUGGGGUAACGGCUCACCUAGGCGACGAUCCCUAGCUGGUCUGAGAGGAUGGCCAGCCACACUGGAACUGAGACACGGUCCAG
This 233-nucleotide ribosomal RNA is filed under the name uncultured bacterium. Its description in RNAcentral is "partial 16S ribosomal RNA". It matches the Rfam family "Bacterial small subunit ribosomal RNA", at positions 100 to 334 of the family's 1533-position model. The record is from RNAcentral.